UCCAGACCUCAUCACAAGGAGAGUGGCUCCCUCCUUGCCAGAAAUGGGGACACAGGGAGGAUGAGGAGGUGGCCUGGAGGGAGAGGCUCAGCCAGACUGCAGCUGCGUGAGAGUGGGUUCUUGGACCCAGCCGGAAACAGUGCAGGUCUUCAAGUGUCCUGCAUGACUCUGAGCUGUCUGUGGUGGUGCUGAUGGCAGAGGCUGGGCUGGCUCGUGCUUCACACCUGACAGUGGCCUGGAGUGCUCCCCAGGGGUGGCCCAAGCUAUGUCCCAGAGCUUCAGCCAUGAAGGAGGCAGGUUGCUGAGGGUCCACACAUUGCCUUCAGAGAUCCUAACCCCAGGAGCGCACCCUGUAGAAGGAGGAGGCGGGCGAGAGACAGGGAAAUACAAAACCUAACAGAUGGAGUCUUGCUCUGUUGUACCUCGGUUGGAGUGCAGUGGUACGAUCUCGGCUCACUGCAACCUCUGCCUCCCGGUUUCAAGCGAUUCUUCCACCUCAGUCUCCCAAGUAGCUGGGAUUACAGGAGCCCGCCACCACGCCAGGCUAAUUUUUUGUAUUUUCAGUAGAGAUGGGGUUUCACCAUGUUGGCCAGGCUGGUCUCAAACUCCCAACCUCAGGUGAUCUGCCCGCCUCGGCCUCCCAAAAUGCUGGGAUUACAGGCAUGAGCCACCAUUCCCGGCCUACUGCUGUUUUCUUUUUGCAAUAAAACAGAAUGUCUGCA
RNAcentral lists this long non-coding RNA (722 nucleotides) under Homo sapiens (human). Its description in RNAcentral is "HSALNT0215090". Lineage: Eukaryota; Metazoa; Chordata; Mammalia; Primates; Hominidae. The record is from RNAcentral.